This is a long non-coding RNA of Podarcis raffonei (Aeolian wall lizard), 3843 nucleotides long. RefSeq lists it as uncharacterized. The record is from RefSeq and is a predicted model, not a curated record. The transcript is spliced from 2 exons. Lineage: Eukaryota; Metazoa; Chordata; Lepidosauria; Squamata; Lacertidae.
ACACCCCGCAUCAGCUGAGGCUUCUUGCUCGCCUUCUCACACUGGAAGCCUCCUAGUGGGACCCAAGCCACCCAAAAGAGGCAGUAAACUGGCAGUAUGCCGAGAUCAUUGGGUCAAUAUUACCUACACUGGCUGGCAGCAUGAUUCGGGGGUCCCCACGCAGCCUGGAGAUUCUUGCCUUCUGCAUGCAGAACAUGCACAGUGCAUUGUCCCUUCGGCCAGUUCUACCCAUGCAGUGACACUUCCUUGGAUCAAGCACUCGCCUGCUUUCACAAGCAACUGCCACCUGCACCUGGAGUGUGUGUGUGUCCAGGCAGGGGGACCUAUAGGAAGCUGCCUUAUAUGCAGAGUGAGACCAGUGUUACUUCUACCCCAGUACCCUCUACAUGAGCCGGCAGCAGCACUCCCCACGUGUUCGGACGGAAACCUUUCCCAGCUCCCCUGGAGAUGCCAGGGAUUGAACCUGGGACCUUCUGCAUACAAAGCAAAUGCGCCACCACCAAACGACCGCUCUUCCCCAAGGGGAGGAGGUGUUAGCACUGCUACGCUCUGCAGCUCAAAUUGGGCCCAAUGGGGCCACCCAGAGUGAGCAAGAAAGCAAGAGCAAAUUAUGCCACUCUUGACAGCAGAAGCCACCACCUCUUUCCUUUCUCUGACACAUGAGGAAGGAUUCAGCUUGCUCAGCUCAGUCACCAUUGCCCAGCUCCCCAGGCUGUUGUUGCCUCUGCCUCCCUGCACAUGUAUCCACUUCCUCUGGGCACCUAGGUGUUUGGGUUUGGUCCAAGUCUUCUUUCCUGUGCCAUCCAAAGAAAGAGAAAAAGAUGGCAGGGGCAUCUUGCGUUCUUUCUCUGAACAGACCUGACACCCCAGACUAGAGAUCAAGGGCAAGUAAGCAAGAGGAGGUCACAGCAUAUAGAGCUCUCUAGGCUCAGUUCUUCUGCCAUAGCACCACCUAGAAAGAGAAGUCAAGCAAGCAGAAGCAGGAGAAACUUUCCUACCAUGUUUCCUACUGUGUCUUUAUCUGUGCUCUCCCUUUCAGUGGUAGAGCAAACUAAAUCCUUGCAUCCACAUCUCUCAGAAGGAGAGGGUAGGUGAGCAAUUGGAGACAGCGGUAGCCAUUCCUUGAUACCACCGCUUGCCCACUUUUGCAGUUAAUAUCCUCCAUAUAUUUAGAAGCCCCCUUUUAGAAGCCACCUAAACUUGUAGCUAUCACAAUGCUUGGUACCAAUGAAUUCCUUCAAUCAAUUAUAUAUUACAUGGAGUUGUACUAGCACUCUUUGUUUGCCCUGAAUAAACAGCUAGUUAAUUUCAUUGGAUAACUCUGAGUUCUAGUGCUUUGAGAGAGAAUAAUUACCUUUUUCUGUUCACUACCUCCACAACAUUCACAACUGAAUAACUUUCUGUUAUUUUCUUGCUUAUUUGUUCCUUUUUCAAGCAAAAAAGCCUUGCUUUGCAGGAAAAAUGCUUCUUCACUCAUCAUUUUUACUGUCUUCUCCCGAUCGACAUGUCUUUUUCUUUUCUUUUUUGAGACAGAGCAAAUGUUUGUACCAGAUGUAGGUGUAGCAUAGAUUUAUAUAAUGUCAUUAUAAUAUUUGAUGAAUUAUACAUAGUUUCUUUCCUAGAAAUUCCUGCCACAGAAUUUGCAUAUUUACUGUUGCAGCACACCAUCCUGCCAUUUUCACUGAGCUUCUCACCGUUAUCCCAUGGUCUCUUUUCUAGCAAGUUAAAACCAUUUUAGAGCCCAACAGUAUAUAUCAAAAUCAGAAUAAAUUAAUUUUUUAGCCAUAAGCCAUACAAAAUUACAGAUGAAGCUAUGCAAAUUCAAAUAGAACUGGAAAAAGCUAUGAAUCAAUUGUCUAUCAUACUGGUGAAAACAGAAUAAAAUCACAUAGAAAUCAAUACAGUGGUACCUCUGGUUACAAACGCUUCUGGUUACAAACGCUUCAGGUUACAAGCUCCGCUAACCCAGAAGUAGCUGCUCCUGGUUGUGAACUUUGCUCCAGGAUGCAGACGGAAAUCGCAUGCCAGAGGCACGCGCGCAGCGGGAAACCCCAUUAACGAAAGCAUGCCUCAGGAUAAGAAUGCUUUCAGCUUAAGAAUGCACCUCCAGAACGAAUUAAGUUUGUAACCAGAGGUACCACUGUAGCCCAUCUUACAAACAUUCUUAUUAAUUAAUUCUUGUUAUAUUUAAUGGCAGGCAGCACAUAUAUAGCUACAAUACAGAUAACUUGCUGGAAUUUAAUCCAAUUUCUGCUGGUUUGUCCAGUUUACAUAAUAAUUCGAAACAGGCUAAAGAAAGCUUAGCCCAAUGUUUUAACUGAUGGGCUAUUUGAACAAAUAGGUUCCCACCCACCCACAGCUAUAUUCUCACCAGUACAGAACCUUAGUUUGUAUCAGAUAAGAAGUUAACACUCAUCCAAGUGCUGUAGAAAGAAAUUGCUGCAGUCUUCAUAAAGUGAAAGCUCUUCUUACAAACAACUUUGGAAGUUAUAUCAAGUAAUUCUCCAGUGCACGCUUAAACAUAAACAGCCUGUACCAUGGUGCUAUUUUUACUUCCACCAGUAGAGAUAGAUCUUGCUAGAUAAACAUGUCUGUUGUUCUCCUUUUAAACUCUGUUUAUUUCUGCCAACAGUUCAAGUCCAGCAAAGCAUGCUAGUGAGAGUUCAUGCAAAUGAAUCUGAGUGAUUUCCUAAAUCCAAGUAGGCACCUCAGACCAAGUAAACUAUAAAUGUUCCCUGAGGCAAAUUUUAGGGAGUCCAUCGGUUGUCAUGUUCAUAAUUUUAAUCCAAUAAUUAAAUAGAACCCUGCUAUUCAGUUAUACAGUUACCCAGUUUAGAAAUAUUAUUUUGGGACUGUUUGGAACUUUAAUGUCCCUGAAUCAUUUGUUCCAUAUCCAAAUUUAACUAUUUCACUGUUCUGACUGACUCCAGUUACUGUGUGAAUAAGUAACACUAUUCCUAUUACAAUUUCCUGGUGUUUGCCUUCCUCACUUCUUUUCAGUGAAGCACCUUAAGCCUCUGAAAAGGAUCUUAAGGUUUGGGAGAAGAUAACCUGGUUCCAAGCUGUUAAUUGUUUUUGUUAUUAUUGUCAUUUAUUAAGGGCUAUCAACUUACCCUCAUACAACAUUAGUAAAAAGACAACCUCCAUCUUGAGCAGGCACCCACAAACUUGGCCUUCCAGAUGUUUUGGGACUACAACUCCCAUCAUCCCUAGCUAACAGGACCAGUAGUCAGGGAUGAUGGGAACUGUAGCCCCAAAACAUCUGGAGGGCCGAGUUUGGGGUUGCCUGAUCUUGAGGAACUUACAGUUUAAGUGUUGUGUGGGGUGGGGGCAGCAGAGGUAGUUGAGGGGAGAAAGACAGAUUAAAGGAUAAUGGGUGCACAUUUGGAAAAGCAAUUAAGCAUAGUGUCAGUAGUUGAUGAAGAUUAAGGGGUUGCAUUAACAAUAUUCAAGAAAGAGGUGGGACUUGAGGAAAGCUUUUACCUGUGGCACCUCAUCAUCACUCAGCGAGGGCAUUCUGGAAAGAAGGACAGCAAGAGAAUUGGUGGCAUCCGAGCAGGAAACAUCCAAGUGGCUUUAGUUCUAAAUCUUUUUUUUUUUUUUUUUACAAAGCUCUUCAGCAGAAAAAAAGAUAUUUUAGGUAUGGGUAUCUCUCCAGUAUCUUCUGUUGUGCAAAGAAUUUUUAUUCCUAGCCUUUCCCUAUCUUUUCCAGUAUCCCUUUUCAUUACCCCCCCCCCUGUAAGCUCGUGUUUCCGCUGUGGCUCCAACUGGUUUCCUUCUGUUUAAAUAAGUUUGAGGCUAUCAUUUAAAAAAAAAAAUAUUUAGCAAUAUGUUUAUCACAAA